RNAcentral lists this long non-coding RNA (769 nucleotides) under Hordeum vulgare. RNAcentral's name for it is "long non-coding RNA (HVUL_LNC011356)". The record is from RNAcentral. Lineage: Eukaryota; Viridiplantae; Streptophyta; Magnoliopsida; Poales; Poaceae.
CUUGUACUCGAAGUUUAGCCACCAAAUAUAUGCUUAGCCGCCGCUACAACCUCACCACUUAACCAUACCUCACCCAUUAAGCUUUGCUAGUAUUGAUACCUUUGGAAAUGAGAUUGCUGAGUCCCCUGUGGCUCAAAGAAUACUACAACACCAGUUGCAGGUACAGAUAAAGGUUACUUGACGCGAGCACGUUGAUUGUUCAUUUGGAGUUGCUUCUUCUUCUUCUUCUUCAUCGAUCUAGGAUGGGUUUCAGGCCGGCAGCCUGGGAUAGCAAGGAUGGACGUCGUUCUUCUUUUCUUGUUUGUUUUCGUCCGUAGCCGGACCCUGCUCUUACUCUUGAUGAUUAUGUAAUGUACUGAUGUGACUCUGAUGUAGUUUGUGGCGAGUGUAAGCCAAUUCUAUAUAUAUAUAUCUCUUCUUUUUAGUACAUGUACUUGUAACGAUAUUCAUUCUUGCGACACGACGAGAUGCGCUUCUAUCCCUGUCGAGGCCUUCGUGCCAAAUUGAGGAUAGGGUCGCAUCUUGGGCGUGACACCCGCUCGGAAGAAGAAUGACUCCGUGAAGCAAACAAACCGACGUAGUCGAACGGGUCCUCACAUCCGACACGCUUGCGGACCUCUAUCGAGACGAAGGAAACCGGAAACAAGAAUCAACACACGAAAUAUACCACACGAUGCACAACACAAAUGAUGCAUGAGCAGCUGAAUACACGCAGGUCACGGCAUGACAAUUCACACAAACAAACACUACACAUUAAGUGAAGUUAAAU